Molecule: unclassified non-coding RNA, 478 nt
Filed under: Hevea brasiliensis (rubber tree)
Lineage: Eukaryota; Viridiplantae; Streptophyta; Magnoliopsida; Malpighiales; Euphorbiaceae
Source: RNAcentral
CGCCGCUUAGGUGGCAUAGGAAAGAAAGUUUGUACAGCUAACUGAGGCUAGUUUGAGCUUCAUCUCUUUCUUCCUUCCGAUAUCUAGAGCUAUGUCUCUACCUAUCUUUUUAGACAGGUAUGAGCUGAUUGAAAAUAAACGUUGUUGCUUGUACUUGAAACUGUACAUUGUGUAGUUGUAAGGUUUAUACAGAGUUGAGGAAGCCGACGAUCAGAGGUUAAAUACGCCUGAUGCCACUGCAAGAGGACAUUAAUGACUAUACAAGUUUUUAAGGGUGUAAAAAAAAAGUGAUCAAAUGUUGAGGUAGUCUAAACGUGACUGUACAAAUGUUGUUAUGUGGAGAGCUAUUAUGUUAGGUGAGGCAAGAGUUCUCCUUUCAUGUAUCGGUAUUUUACUAUUUUUUCCUUUUCCCUUAGAAAGUACAUUUUUCUUAUAUUCUCAUGUUCAAUUGUUGUUAAAGCUGUUUUUCAUUAUUUUU